AGUAUGAAGCCCUGAGGGCUGAGACCACAUCUGCCUGGUUUUCUGUGGCAGCUGCAGCAUCAACACUGGCUCUUCGAAGAGUAGCAGCUGAUGAACAUUACUCCGGCAAACAAUUUUCUCUGCUAGGAACUGGAUAAAUGCAAAGGAAGGAGGGGAGAGUGUGUCAGACGGGGACCCUGCCCUACUGGAGCACACGCAUCACCACCUGGGUUAGGACGGCCUCACCCGUCCCCUGGACCUUCACCUUAUGUCCCAGAGAGGAGACAUCUGCUAGAGCAAAGAAAAUUCAUUGUCAUAUAAAACAAACAAGAAAACACACACACACAUGUGCACACACACAUACAGAAAGCAAAUAAAAC
This 359-nucleotide long non-coding RNA is filed under the name Homo sapiens (human). RNAcentral's name for it is "non-protein coding LINC02376:6". The record is from RNAcentral. Lineage: Eukaryota; Metazoa; Chordata; Mammalia; Primates; Hominidae.